CUACGGGGCGCAGCAGUGGGGAAUAUUGCACAAUGGGCGCAAGCCUGAUGCAGCCAUGCCGCGUGUAUGAAGAAGGCCUUCGGGUUGUAAAGUACUUUCAGCGGGGAGGAAGGGAGUAAAGUUAAUACCUUUGCUCAUUGACGUUACCCACAGAAGAAGCACCGGCUAACUCCGUGCCAGCAGCCGCGGUAAUACGGAGGGUGCAAGCGUUAAUCGGAAUUACUGGGCGUAAAGCGCGCGCAGGCGGUUUGUUAAGUCAGAUGUGAAAUCCCCGGGCUCAACCUGGGAACUGCAUCUGAUACUGGCAAGCUUGAGUCUCGUAGAGGGGGGUAGAAUUCCAGGUGUAGCGGUGAAAUGCGUAGAGAUCUGGAGGAAUACCGGUGGCGAAGGCGGCCCCCUGGACGAAGACUGACGCUCAGGUGCGAAAGCGUGGGGAGCAAACAGGAUUAGAUACCCCAGUAGUC
This 464-nucleotide ribosomal RNA is filed under the name uncultured bacterium. RNAcentral's name for it is "partial 16S ribosomal RNA". It matches the Rfam family "Bacterial small subunit ribosomal RNA", at positions 339 to 795 of the family's 1533-position model. The record is from RNAcentral.